RNAcentral lists this unclassified non-coding RNA (432 nucleotides) under soil metagenome. RNAcentral's name for it is "partial contains 5.8S ribosomal RNA, internal transcribed spacer 2, and large subunit ribosomal RNA". The stretch from base 1 to 120 matches the Rfam family "5.8S ribosomal RNA", at positions 35 to 154 of the family's 154-position model. The record is from RNAcentral.
GAUGAAGAACGUAGCGAAAUGCGAUACGUAAUGUGAAUUGCAGAAUUCAGUGAAUCAUCGAAUCUUUGAACGCAUAUUGCGCUCUCUGGUAUUCCGGAGAGCAUGCUUGUUUGAGUAUCAGUAAACACCUCAACUUCCAUAUCUUUUUUGAAAUGGAAGUUGGACUUGAGUGAUCCCAACGCUUUUCCUCACCGAAAAGUGGCGGGUUACUUGAAAUGCAGGUGCAGCUGGACUUUUCUCUGAGCUAUAAGCAUAUCUAUUUAGUCUGCCUAAAAAACAGAUUAUUACCUUUGCUGCAGCUAACAUAAAGGAGAUUAGUUCUUGUGCUGACUGAUGCAGGAUUCACAAAGACAGGCUUCGGCCGACUUUGUAAACUCGAUCUCAAAUCAAGUAAGACUACCCGCUGAACUUAAGCAUAUCAAUAACGGAGGA